GACGAACGCUGGCGGCGUGCUUAACACAUGCAAGUCGAACGGAAAGGCCCUGCUUUUGUGGGGUGCUCGAGUGGCGAACGGGUGAGUAACACGUGAGUAACCUGCCCUUGACUUUGGGAUAACUUCAGGAAACUGGGGCUAAUACCGGAUAGGAGCUCCUGCUGCAUGGUGGGGGUUGGAAAGUUUCGGCGGUUGGGGAUGGACUCGCGGCUUAUCAGCUUGUUGGUGGGGUAGUGGCUUACCAAGGCUUUGACGGGUAGCCGGCCUGAGAGGGUGACCGGCCAAAUUGGGACGGGGAUACGGCCCAGGCCCCGCCGGGGGGCAGCAGUGGGGAAUAUUGCACAAGGGGGGGAAGCCUGAUGCAGCAACGCCGCGUGCGGGAGGACGGCCUUCGGGGUGUAAACCGCUUUCGCCUGUGACGAAGCGUGAGGGACGGGAAUGGGUAAAGAAGCACCGGCUAACUACGU
RNAcentral lists this ribosomal RNA (467 nucleotides) under uncultured bacterium. RNAcentral's name for it is "partial 16S ribosomal RNA". It matches the Rfam family "Bacterial small subunit ribosomal RNA", at positions 28 to 506 of the family's 1533-position model. The record is from RNAcentral.